RNAcentral lists this ribosomal RNA (465 nucleotides) under uncultured bacterium. RNAcentral describes it as "partial 16S ribosomal RNA". It matches the Rfam family "Bacterial small subunit ribosomal RNA", at positions 338 to 795 of the family's 1533-position model. The record is from RNAcentral.
CCUACGGGAGGCAGCAGUGGGGAAUAUUGCGCAAUGGGCGAAAGCCUGACGCAGCGACGCCGCGUGAGGGAUGAAGGUCUUCGGAUCGUAAACCUCUGUCAGCAGGGAAGAACGGUCACUGUGCUAAUCAGCAGUGAAUUGACGGUACCUGCAAAGGCAGCACCGGCUAACUCCGUGCCAGCAGCCGCGGUAAUACGGAGGGUGCGAGCGUUAAUCGGAAUUACUGGGCGUAAAGCGCUCGUAGGCGGUAUGUCAAGUCAAGGGUGAAAUCCCCGCGCUCAACGUGGGAACUGCCUUUGAAACUGGGAAACUGGAGUGUGUGAGAGGAUAGUGGAAUUCCAGGUGUAGGAGUGAAAUCCGUAGAUAUCUGGAGGAACAUCAGUGGCGAAGGCGACUAUCUGGAACAUAACUGACGCUGAGGAGCGAAAGCGUGGGUAGCAAACAGGAUUAGAUACCCUAGUAGUC